AAAUUGAAGAGUUUGAUCAUGGCUCAGAUUGAACGCUGGCGGCAGGCCUAACACAUGCAAGUCGAACGGUAACAGAAAGCAGCUUGCUGUUUCGCUGACGAGUGGCGGACGGGUGAGUAAUGUCUGGGAAACUGCCUGAUGGAGGGGGAUAACUACUGGAAACGGUAGCUAAUACCGCAUAACGUCGCAAGACCAAAGAGGGGGACCUUCGGGCCUCUUGCCAUCGGAUGUGCCCAGAUGGGAUUAGCUUGUUGGUGGGGUAACGGCUCACCAAGGCGACGAUCCCUAGCUGGUCUGAGAGGAUGACCAGCCACACUGGAACUGAGACACGGUCCAGACUCCUACGGGAGGCAGCAGUGGGGAAUAUUGCACAAUGGGCGCAAGCCUGAUGCAGCCAUGCCGCGUGUAUGAAGAAGGCCUUCGGGUUGUAAAGUACUUUCAGCGGGGAGGAAGGGAGUAAAGUUAAUACCUUUGCUCAUUGACGUUACCCGCAGAAGAAGCACCGGCUAACUCCGUGCCAGCAGCCGCGGUAAUACGGAGGGUGCAAGCGUUAAUCGGAAUUACUGGGCGUAAAGCGCACGCAGGCGGUUUGUUAAGUCAGAUGUGAAAUCCCCGGGCUCAACCUGGGAACUGCAUCUGAUACUGGCAAGCUUGAGUCUCGUAGAGGGGGGUAGAAUUCCAGGUGUAGCGGUGAAAUGCGUAGAGAUCUGGAGGAAUACCGGUGGCGAAGGCGGCCCCCUGGACGAAGACUGACGCUCAGGUGCGAAAGCGUGGGGAGCAAACAGGAUUAGAUACCCUGGUAGUCCACGCCGUAAACGAUGUCGACUUGGAGGUUGUGCCCUUGAGGCGUGGCUUCCGGAGCUAACGCGUUAAGUCGACCGCCUGGGGAGUACGGCCGCAAGGUUAAAACUCAAAUGAAUUGACGGGGGCCCGCACAAGCGGUGGAGCAUGUGGUUUAAUUCGAUGCAACGCGAAGAACCUUACCUGGUCUUGACAUCCACAGAACUUUCCAGAGAUGGAUUGGUGCCUUCGGGAACUGUGAGACAGGUGCUGCAUGGCUGUCGUCAGCUCGUGUUGUGAAAUGUUGGGUUAAGUCCCGCAACGAGCGCAACCCUUAUCCUUUGUUGCCAGCGGUCCGGCCGGGAACUCAAAGGAGACUGCCAGUGAUAAACUGGAGGAAGGUGGGGAUGACGUCAAGUCAUCAUGGCCCUUACGACCAGGGCUACACACGUGCUACAAUGGCGCAUACAAAGAGAAGCGACCUCGCGAGAGCAAGCGGACCUCAUAAAGUGCGUCGUAGUCCGGAUUGGAGUCUGCAACUCGACUCCAUGAAGUCGGAAUCGCUAGUAAUCGUGGAUCAGAAUGCCACGGUGAAUACGUUCCCGGGCCUUGUACACACCGCCCGUCACACCAUGGGAGUGGGUUGCAAAAGAAGUAGGUAGCUUAACCUUCGGGAGGGCGCUUACCACUUUGUGAUUCAUGACUGGGGUGAAGUCGUAACAAGGUAACCGUAGGGGAACCUGCGGUUGGAUCACCUCCUUACCUUAAAGAAGC
This 1554-nucleotide ribosomal RNA is filed under the name Escherichia coli. RNAcentral describes it as "bacterial SSU rRNA". It matches the Rfam family "Bacterial small subunit ribosomal RNA". Lineage: Bacteria; Pseudomonadati; Pseudomonadota; Gammaproteobacteria; Enterobacterales; Enterobacteriaceae. The record is from RNAcentral.